CACUGGUGGCGACCGGCGCACGGGUGAGUAACACGUGUGCAACAACCCCUACCGGGAGAUAACCCGCGGAAACGUGGACUAACAUCCCAUAACACUGUAUCAUCGCAUGGUGAUGCAUUUAAAAUUCCGGUGGUACGGGACGGGCACGCGCGACAUUAGGUAGUUGGCGGGGUAACGGCCCACCAAGCCGACGAUGUCUAGGGGUUCUGAGAGGAAGGUCCCCCACACUGGAACUGAGACACGGUCCAG
This 249-nucleotide ribosomal RNA is filed under the name uncultured bacterium. RNAcentral describes it as "partial 16S ribosomal RNA". It matches the Rfam family "Bacterial small subunit ribosomal RNA", at positions 83 to 334 of the family's 1533-position model. The record is from RNAcentral.